RNAcentral lists this long non-coding RNA (616 nucleotides) under Equus caballus (horse). RNAcentral describes it as "lncRNA (ENSECAG00000053785.1)". The record is from RNAcentral. Lineage: Eukaryota; Metazoa; Chordata; Mammalia; Perissodactyla; Equidae.
UUUCUUCUUCAAAAACUGUAAGAGUCCAAAACUCACUGUGGAGAUAACAAAGGCUCCUCGCAGACAGAAGGCUGCAGUCAUUUCACCUGUAGAAUUCCAGCCAAAACCAGCCCACAGGACACAACCCACAAGAUUAGGGUAGUCGAGCAUCCUUUUUACCUGGACUGUAAUCUGAAAGAAAAAUAAGCUCCACUGAAAACAGAAUAUCCCUUUUUUCUCUGCAUCUGUCUGUUCUGGACUGUCCUGUCCUCAUCAACAGAGGAAAUCGGCUCCUGCAUGCCAGGAUGUCUUCAUGGCAGGGGCUGGAGACACGGAGAUGAAACUCGGAUUGUGUUUAGAUGAGUCGUGAAGACAGACCCACACCUCGGCCAUUAAAAUACAAUGGAAUCGGUGCCAUGAUAAUUCUGUGCUAUGCAGGUAGCACAGAGACCAGUGUCUGGAACCAGCAUGCAUAAAAGAGGACUUCUUGAAUGAGAGAAGAAUGAGUGGAUUGAAGAUCUUGAUAAGGGGAGAGGGGAGAUACUGGUGACCCUUCGAAACAUCACCAACAUUUGAAACUAUGCCAAGACCUUAAACAACUUUGCUGUAAGCAUCUCUAAGUGUAUGUACCAGUUUC